UAUAAAAAUUUCAGAAAAAAAUCAAACAUUUGUUUUUCAUUACAAAUUUUAUUUAUUUCCUUUUGUAGUUGUUACUUUAUCAUAUGGUACAAAAAUCAUUCAAAACAAUCAAUUCGUGUUGGCCCAAAAUGACUUUCAAAAUGUAUACAUCAUUGAAAAAGUUCCAAAUUAUCUCCCUUUGGUGGAAAAAUGCCAUUUUUUGGCUCUAAAAUUGAAAUAUCUUUUCCAACUCAUCGGUGACAUAUCUUUUUUUAAUAUAAUUUCCAUAUAAGCUGUACUUAAACUAAAUUAUUGUAAAAUUUUAGCGAUUUCUGUAAUAAAUUUCCUUUUUU
RNAcentral lists this long non-coding RNA (332 nucleotides) under Mytilus galloprovincialis (Mediterranean mussel). Lineage: Eukaryota; Metazoa; Mollusca; Bivalvia; Mytilida; Mytilidae. The record is from RNAcentral.